RNAcentral lists this long non-coding RNA (11632 nucleotides) under Musa acuminata (dwarf banana). RNAcentral describes it as "long non-coding RNA (MACU_LNC003061)". The record is from RNAcentral. Lineage: Eukaryota; Viridiplantae; Streptophyta; Magnoliopsida; Zingiberales; Musaceae.
UAAGACAAGAAGAAGAGAGAGAUCACUCAGUGUGUAAUGAUGCCAUAUUAAUCUCAUGUUGGAUAUAUAUCUUCUUCUUCUUUUUUGUUCUUAGGCGCUAUGGUUUUCUCAUUUUAGUUUCUCUUUCUUGCUUUAUUUUCUGCUAGUAUGGGUAAAAUUCCAUCUGGAAAUAUGUAGUUGUUCCAUGCUAAUGUAUAAAUAGCUUUCCCUUUUGCCUGCCUUGUGAAACAUCAUUUCGUUGCUCGCCCAUUUUCUCAUUGACGGGGAAUUCCGAGUCUCUUCAUUUAUUGUCAAACCUAUGAAAAGAAGAAGAAAACAUUGUUAUAUAAUCACCAAGGUGCAGAGAGUCAAUUCAGCUCGUAGACACACAAUAAGAUCAGGUGGUAAAGGCGACGCGUCUGACAUCACCUGCUCGUCUCAAACACUUUUCAUCUCUCCUCAUAACUUGGCCUAUCUUUAAGGCCAUGAUCUCUCUGCCUGCUUAUUUGACCCUUUCCACUUAUCCUCUACAUUUGCAUUUACUCAAAAGCUUCUCAAGACGGACUAUAUGGUUACUUGUGAUAUAUGAUUUACAUGAAGUACAUGACGAAUUUGCAGACAACAUUGCAAACUGUCAGCAAAUGUGCCAAAACGGUGAAACUUCUGCAAAUUACUCCCUCUCGGUUUGUGUGAAUGCAUAUACAUAAACUGUGGCAGUAUAAUGAUCCGUAUAGUGCACCCCAAAAGAAACAAUUCCGUAAAGGGCAUGCAACUUCUCAGAUAUAGAGAAUGUGGUAUGAAACGCCGCCUUCUUUGUUCUUCUCAUACAUGGCAUUCGUUUACCUGAUGACAUGGGUAGUAUCUGCAGCCAUUCCAAGGCGGAGCAGCAGCAGCAGCAGCAGCGGUGCCGGCCCACCACCACCCCUUUUCCUUCUUGAGGUGCGUGCUGGUGGUGUUGCUUUUUCGCCUUGGCGAGUUUCUAAGUAGGCCACGGGAGCCUCGAGUGGUGGCGGGGGGCGGGGGUGGCCGUCUCGGCGACUGCAAACGCCACCGCCAGCAGCACCGUCUCCCCGCCCUUGUUCGCAGCACUUGGAGCCUCGAUGUAUGCAGAGUCCGAAUCACGAGGCAUAAGCUCCGCGGCGGAUCUCGGCUCACAUCCGCCCCCCCCUACGUGACCCUUCUUCGCCAAGACCGCCCGACGCCCGUCUUAACACGUUGACAAGGAGAAGAUACCGGUGAGUCCCACAAGAGUGUAUAUACACACGUAUAUAUACGUACGUAUGCACAAAAGUUGAGGUCCCACAAAAGGAAUAGCGAUUAGCGUAAAUGCGACGGUCGGGUCGCACUGACAUCCAGUCGAUCGGACGGCGGGCAGAAGUCCAGAUUCCCCGUUCGUCACGGGACGGGAGGUGGGUGUCACGUGGGAGGUGUACCCUCGCGUCAGAUACGUCCAUCCUCGCUGACUCGGACGGGCCCCAUCGGCUCCUCCUGCGAACAAUUAUUCCUCCAUCAUGUCCGUAGAUUUUGGUCAGCCGAGUGGGCCCCCGACGUUGUUUUUUUUGGAUAUAUUUACGAAAAGGCUAGGGUUCCUCGCAAACCCCGUUGGGGACAGAAGAAUUGGAUAGCCGCAGCAGCAGCAGCAGGGGGAAAGCGUUGUACUCGCACAGCGAUAUUGAAUCAAUCAUGUUGACAUUUGUGAUCUGUGGUGCUACCUCUUGAUUCCAGGAACGUCCAAGUGAUCACUAUGUGUCAAGAACAGAGCCAUUCUCAACAUCCAUCAAGAGAACAAGACGGUGAGGAUCUCAAACUUGGUGUUUCAAGUGACUUCAAUUGGAACUCGCAUGAGAUUUUGGCCUUAAAACCAAUGGAAGCUGCCUGGUUCAGAAAUAUUCUGCAGAAAAGGCAUCCACUGGUUCAGAUAGCUCUUGCAGACUGAAGCUUAUGAAGACUGAACUCAUAUGGCAAUGAAGCAAAGGUGGUAUUCUGCAGCACUAAUGAAUGUAUAACUCCAGUUUGCUGUGAAAAUGCUGUGUUCUUCUUCUCCGAUGGGAAUUUUGGUACUAUUUAUUUUCUGAAACACAGUAAUAUGUCUUGUUUGACUGUUCAGAACUGGCUGCCAAUCCAAACAAAAUCAUUUCUUUUUGGUCUGAAGUUGGUGAUGCAUAUUAAGGGAUAAAAUUGCAGAUGCACAGAAUCUAAAGGGGAAACUCCCUCUGAGAUACUUCAAGUGAAACAUGCAGUUGCUAUACCAUUCACCAUAUCUUCAACUUGGGAGAGAAGGAAAGGAGAAGCCAAAAAAACAAAUACAGAAAUAUAUGGGUGAGAAUGAAACUCUCACUCAUUAUCACUAAUCUCUCACUCAUUCAGUACUUAAUUAGCACUCUUACGAAGUAAAUGAUCUGUACGCGGUCCAAAUAUUGGGCUGAGCCUAAAAGAAUCCGGCCCAGUCUAUCUUAAAGCUUUAAAGUUCGAACCUAGCAAGUUCAUACGACAUCAAAUUUAUCAUGAAUGGACGUAACAUUUGGGAAAAAACCCAUUGUUGUCGUGCAUUAUAAAGCUCAAUUAACUAAUCGGGAAACGACAUCUAAAUGAAGUCAAUGCUUUACUAGUAAUUACCGGUGAACUAAUUUAUUAUGUCAACUGGUUCUAAAUUCAAUAUGAUAUAUUUAAUUUAACAUUUAAAAUGUAUUUCGAUCAAUGGUUGUAACAAAAUAUUAAGCACAAAUUCUCAGAAAAAAAAAUUUUCAAUUUUGAUAAUUUUUCAGAUAAUGUCUCGAUUUUAAAAAUUUUACUUAUAAUUUUAUCUUUUAAAAAUUAAUCAUUGACCAUCAUUCUCUGUCUUAUCGAUCACCCCCUCUAAACAGUUGCUCAUUACUCAUAAUGCAGGAGUGGUCAUGCACAACAAUGAACAAUUGAAAAGAUCUCACCCUCAUUGGACCUAACAACUACCUCUCAUCGCUUGGUUGUCUAUGUCCCUACGUAUAAGUUGACUUUACUAGUCGCUUUCACUUCAUCCAAAAUAGAUGCCCAUUUUUUACAACGCCUUUGGCCAUCUCUGCACACAAGUUUGUUAACGCUCGUGAUAAGUGAUUGAAUGCCUAGGGUUGACGUAGAUACUUAUGGUAUCCCAAAGGCCUAAAGAUAAUGAUGAAGUUAAUGUAGGAAGAAUGAGAUGAUGGUGCAAAGUGUAAAACGACGAUGGAGGUAAAGAUAAAAUUACCAAGGGUGCCUAUAGAAUUUUUUUAAUUAUGAUAUUAUUCGAAAAAAUCUCAGUUAAAUUUUUUUAAUAAAAGUUCACCCAAACAUUAAUUUAGGAAAGGGCUAAAAGAUUAGUUACCUCAUUUUGAUAUCUACUGUUAGUAUAAAAGAUAUUUUCUUGAUGAACACGUGUCACCAUCAUAUCCAACACACGGGGUACGUCGUGCCAACGGCCCGCAGCGGAUCUGCUGUGUGAGCGAUGCUUCUCGAAGCUUCCCUGCACGUGGGAAACGCGUCACACUGGUGGCUUCCGUGAGGUGUGGCCGACGGCCAUUAAGCGAGGCAUCGCCAUCGUCCAUCCGCCGACGUCAGGGUAAGUGACGGCCGAACAACCACCCAACACGGUCUGCUCGCACAUCCCCACGAGCACUCGUGCCGUCUACCACACGGCACGAAUCUCCAGGCUCAUCUUAUCGCUCCUUUCUGAGAACGCCACACCAAACCGCAAACACGAAAUUGUGGCAAAUAAGUAUCUCAAACGUGGCAUGUAUAAAACGUGGAGAAUUUGCCGUCCGUGUAAAGAGACGUUCGACUUUGUGCCCAAUCAGCGUAUCGUAAGCCGGCUUCACAUGAAAUGGUUCCUCGUUGCCACCGCAAGCCAAAACUUCCCCUGCCCUUCCCCAGUCAAAGUCAAAUCAGCCCCAAGUGGUGACCAAACACGUCGCUUUGAUGGGCUAUUUGUCUUGAAACAGGAACUUGUGAUCCAAACUUCAGCCUACGGCCCUCAUCCCCCGUUCUGUGGGACCCACUCAUUUCAACGAAUGGCAGGUGCUUUGUCGUGAAGUAAGAGAGUUUCCUGCUUUACGGACGUCAGCUGCAAAGAACUAAAAACCGCGUGCCGAAAAGACCUAAUCGAAUGAAUCGAGCAGAUCGCCUCAGCCCCUAACGGUUACCUCACGCCUUAUCCUGUCCCGACGGCGCAUUUUACCUCAUCCAAACCACUGUACCCUAUAACCUUCCUCCACGCGUCCGUUCACUUCCAACAACGGUAAUCUGUCCCCGACCUACCUACCUCCCCCCUUCUCUCUCUCUCCUCUCUCUAAACGCUAAGGAGAGAGAAAAAAGGGACAGAAAAAAGAAGAGGAAAGCGAGAUCGGAACCCGAAAUGGGAAAGCUCCUCUCCAACUCCGCCGCCGUCGCCGAAACCCUAAACCCAUCGCCGUCCCUCCUCCAGUGGCCGGACCCGGACCCGAUCCAUACACCAGAGGCCGCCGAUCCGGCGACAGCUGCCUUCGCGUGGGCCGCCGUCUCCGGGCUGGACGAGCAGCAGCGACGGCGGCUCGAGAAGAUCCACGCGCGGGGGGUCUUCUGGAAGAACCCGCGCGAUGCGGAGGCCCCCGGUGUGGCGUUCCGGCUGGAGCACGGCGGUGACGUGGAGGCGGACGGAAACUGCCUGUUCACGGCGGCGCGGAGGGCGAUGGGGCCCAAGACGGCCGGGGCGCGUGAGCUGCGGCAGCGAGCGGUGCGGCGGUUCUUGGAGGACUAUGGAUCGGCGGACGGUGCGGCGAGGGAGGCGGCAGACGUGGCUAUCCGGCACUUGUACUCGCCGGAUCUGAAGGCUGGGUGGGGCAUUCACGUCGUGCAGGAGGUGAAGCUCCUAGCGAAGAAGGCGGAUCGCGAGGGCUUGGAUGCCUCCAUUCAGGAGCUCGUAGAUCUAGGACUCCAAAGGUAUAGCAUCAUCGCCUUUUCCUUUUUUAUUUAACUAAUUUUCUUUACUAAACGUUCUUUAUCUUUCGACGCUUAGAUCUAUUUGUACGUUCUUAAUUCUAUUUAUUGUUUCUUUCUUUUCUUUGGAAAAUUUUCUCGUAUUGUUUUGCAGUUUAUGCUUGUUAUCGUUUGUCUUCAAUUUCAUACUUGUGGAAAUUCUACAAUAUAUAUAAUCUGCGGCAUUUCUUAAUACUGUGGAUCGACUUUGUUGCAUACUCAUUUGCUAUUUGGAAGGUAUCAGAAAAGGCAAGGGUAAUACAUUGCCAGAGAGCGCUGAUUUUUUUCAGGAUCAUACAAGAUUAUUUUCUGAUAUGUCUGUCAGCUGCAUUCUUGACGAAGAGGUUUAAGAAGUUUUUAUCUACUUUUUCAUGGCAUAUUCAGAUUUUUUUCAUUGUCGACAUAUGCACCGAUGCACCAAACUUGUGCUGAUGCUUCAAACGUUUUAUUUCAAAUGAAAUUAUUGCUUUCCAUUUGUGUAUAGUUAGGCUAAUCUUGUCCGUAUAUUAGCUAAAGUCGAUGUCAUGGGACCAGGUAAGGUCAUUUUAUUGUACUUAACCAUAGAGGACACUGGGUAACAGUUGGUGCAUGAUAAGUGAAACUUGACUUGACUUUAGCUGCCCAACCCAUCUUGUCUGUCCAAGUUGGCUAAACUUGGUUUUUUUCAUGGUUGACCCUGUCCCAUCACUUUCUUGUAUUAGAGUAACGUAGUCAAAAUCAUCUUGAGCUUGAAGGAACAUUGUUGUGUGAAACUAGCAUUAUGUUCUCAUCUAACUAUUAUUAGGAAAUCAAGAUCUUGGGCUGAGCUUUGUGAAAUCAAAAUUUCUUGAAUAUAUUCUAGCUUUUACUGUUGAAAACACCAUUCUUUUUUUUUAUUCACAUAUAUCAUGAAUAUCCCUUUUGUGGCUCGCCAAAAGAAAAAAACAAAAGAUUAUCGUCUGAUUACAAAAUCAUGCCACAUCUUGUAAAUAAAAAAUGUAUGUUUUAAAUCUUGCUUCAUUUAGUAGUUCUCUAAUUGAAUUCGGAAACAAUGAAUUUUUGGAUGAGUUCUAAAGAUUCACAGAUUGUGAUAAGAGAAAUUUGUGCGAGAUGUUUGUAUUUGUUUGCUGACUUUACUUCUCAAUUGACUGAAGGGAAGGGGCAGCAGAAUCUAUUUAUAAAGAGAGAUGCAUGGCCAUAAAUGAUGGGCUAAGUUGGGCAAAGUACAUGUCCAUCUCUGGCUCUCCGGAGGAUGAGUAUGACAUCAUUACAUUACAAUACACAGAGGAGGGGUUGUUAAGCAUAGAUGAGAAUCGGAAUGGCCAUGCUGCAGCUUUUGGCGAUGAUAUUGCCAUUGAGAGCUUGGCAACAGAGUUCCGACGGGAAGUAUAUGUGGUGAGUGUCAUGCUCUGAUAAAGUAGUCUGUUUAUUCUUCUGGUCCAUAAGUCUAUUCUAAGGCCGCUUAUUAAUUUUACGAAACCCUGUUUCAUGAUUGCUAAGUUGUGCCUCCUGUGUUUUGUCGUCUUUGUUACUUUUUCAGGUUCAAGCACAUGGGUCGGAUGCAAUGGUGGAUGAAAACGAUUGCGUCUUCUUUCUCCCCCACAGUCCCAGGGUUCAAAUUUGUGAACCUCCCAUUUUUCUGUUUAUGAAGGGAACAGGUAAACAUAAUUUUGCAACAAUAUGGUGCAAUGCCUGAUAUUCGAUCUCUGUUCUGGUUAACAUGUUGUAAUUUAUUCCUCCCAAUUUAAGUUGUAUUGCUUUCGUUGUUGCUAUAUUCUACUCUCCUGGCGAAACCUUAUACAAUUUCAUAGAUCUCACACUUGAAAUUCCAGCCCCUUCAAGCCCAUCAUCCUCUUCUUUAAUUUUUUUUAACUUAAGCCCGAGAUUAAUUAUUGCUAUUAACUUAUGUUUUAGACUGUUUAUAGCUUCUACAAUUUACUUUUUGAAGAAAGAAAAAGUGUGAGCAUCAGUGUAGGACAGGUUUUCUUUUUCAUCAUUAUGUGUUGUACUUUCUUGAAUGCAUCACAGUUGUUUCUAAUAUAUGACUGUUCAAACAAGUGGGCAAUUGUUGUUGCCUCGAAUGUUUGUCUUUCUGAGCUUUUCAGAUAAUGUGUGCUGAAAUGUUCCAAGUAGCAUAUAGCCUAGCAUGGUGUCAUCAACUUAGGUUGGGUUUGUCAUUGGACUGCUAAAUUCGUUUAGUUGCUGGGACCAGUUUAACCUGCUCCUGAUCCUACUUCUAUGGACUGAUUCAAGGUUUGUCAACAUCUUGAAGAUUCCAAGAUCGGUGGUGAAUUGAGCAUUGUCAAUGAUUUGGUAGACCUGACAUGUAGACUUUUAGAUAUGAGCUUUUUAUUUAAGGCUUUUUUUUAUAGUUUAUCUUCUAAUAUUUGAAACUUCAAGUGACAUUACCGAAUAGUUAUAAUUCAUGUUGUUUUAGAUAAUUCACAUGUCUGUCAAAAUAGAUCUAGACAAAGUGCCAUGCCUCAAAAUUUCCGAUUAUAAUUUUAUAUCUGCUAAAUAUGCAAUCUUGCCAUAAUUUUACCAAAAUUAUCAGAAUAUGAAUUAUGUGGGUGAUGGUUAACCGUACAAACAUCUACUGUUGCUUUUGAUUUAUUCUGGGUAUGCAGUGUAUUCAUCCUAUGACAAGUUGUAUGCUUUGACAAGUGCAGUUAGAUGUCAGUCUCUUCUCUUGUCCUUUGUCCUUGUUCUAAAUGUUAAAGACAAUCUACAUGUGGUGUGUUACAGGUUGGUGUGGUGCGGGAGCUGACCAUUACGAGCCUUUAAUAGCCAAUCCUCUUCCUCUUAUUUCCCAGGACAAGGCUGCCGUCGUACUGUGAGAUGCAUCCAUUGCCAGAUUUUGUGGAGCUGAGCUGGGCUGUGUCUUAGUUUUUUCCUCAUGGACAUUAUUGGCUCAUUAUCGUCGAGGGCAAUUAUUGAUUCUUUUUCUGUAUUAUUUUUUGAACAUGAUCCAAUUUGGAUCGAUGCUGACUCUGACUACUACCCUCGAGACCAACCCCUUGCGCUGUUUCUGUAUCGGUAUUGGUAGUUUAAAGUGGUGAGAGAUUUCUCGGAGUCGUUUUCGACUACUAUCGUUACGAAGAUCUUGAUUGUUAUGAUCAGAGUCAUGUUUUCUCUUCUUUUUUUUUUUGGUCUUUUUAGAUUGAUAUCAUGAGAGUGGUGGCAAUGUUUGAACUCUCUCGUUUGUUAAGACAAAUUAAUUCAAGCACAUGCCUCCUUUUGAGUUAUUUUGUUGAUCUCAUGGAUGUGGCCAAAGCUGUAGCUGUCGAUGCAAGCUUUGUUUAAUGGUGUAAGUUGAUACCAUUGUUCUUAUUAGUCGGAGCUGGUUUUAAUCACAUUAAGCGAUAUAUAGGGAUUAUUCACAUGAAGAGCCGAUGUGCAGUCCAUCCAAUAGGGGCUUGUAGGGAAAAGAAAUGGAUUUGUAAACAACCAAACACAUGAACAAACUAUUAAGUGGAGGACCUAUAGACAUUAAGAUAAUCAAUUGAUGAUGCAUAAUAUAAAAUUAGAUUUUAUAAAUUCUAAACAAUCGCACCAUAUUGACUCCAAAGCACUCAUUGCGAUGAAACCUACAUAGCAUAAGCGUCAAUAUAUGUUGAGAUGAUAAGUAUCUUAAAACUUUUGAAAUAAAUGUCUUAUGAACGAAGUCUUCAUAAUUAUUAUGAUUUGGUUCUUCUAUAGAUAUCUUAUAUAUCUCUAAAUUUUUUUAAAUAGAGAGCAAGAUUUAAGGAAUACUUAUGGUACUCUUGAAACUCUCUUUAGAGUAUUUAGAAAAGAUACUCUCUAGCUUUAAGAUGUUUAGAAAGGGUAGAGAGGGUGAGAGAAAAGAUAAAUUCUAUGGGGUUUAUGCGAGAGAGAGAGAGAGAGAGUGUGUAAAGAAAUUUGGUAACUGAAAGAGAUUUAUAAUUAAUCUUGUAUUGUGAAGAAUUUGAUUUUCUCCAUGGACAUAGACAUUAAUCUAACGUUGAUUUUUUUGGGUAUGCUCUUGAUUGUUAAUCUCUUGAUAUUUUUUUGAUUUUUUAAAAUUUUUUCUCUCCCUUUCCAAUAACAAUAUGAUACUAUUGCAAGAGCAAGCGACACCCAAGAGCUUUUAAGGGUGUUGAGAUGCUUGACAUUUUGAGUACAACUCUACUAUAUGAAACCAUUAUAAGUUAUAAGUUAAAGACUUCGUUUUUGGACAAUUUUAACUCUACAUGAUAAUUACAUAUAAGUUAUAAUUACAAACUAGAUACAUCUACAAAACCUAACUAAAAUGAGACUUCAAGCCUAUUGCUAACUCUUUAUAUACUACCUAAGUUAUGAACGAAUCAAAAAAUACGAACAUUAUAUUGAACAUUUUCUUUGCGAAUAAUCUAUGACAUUCUCCUCCACUUUUUUUUUUAUAUUCUCGUUAAAGACUUUGCAAAUGUUGCAUCUCUAAUACUCCUUCGAUUGCAUGUACCUCAUGGGUCUCAACUAUUCUCUACACAUUAAUAUUGAGUAGUUGAUUCUUGAUUUGUUAAUUUUAUUUCAACUCAUCUAUGAAUGUGACUUUGGUGUGGGAUUCAUCUAGUUCUAUUGAUUUUUGUUGGUUAUUAUGGAUCUCUUUAGAUGAAGAAAAAUGAUAUUUAUUUUUAUGCACUAAUCUGUCAAUUGUUUUGUAUCGAUUGAGCUAGAUGGAUGCAUAUUGAAACUUAAAUAAACAUGACGUUACAUAAUUUAAAGUUUUAAGACCUUCUCCACAAAAUUUGCCUAAUAGAUUUUUUUUUUACUUAGGCAUCAUCUCUAAGUUGCAUCGCCUUAUUUUUUUUUUUAUGUCACUAUCACCAACAUUGGAUAUUUGACAAAUAUUAUAUUUUUCUAAGUAAGAAGGGACUUAAAAAUUGUGCAGAGCUCAUAUAUAAGAUAACAAAGAGAAAAAGAAAUAAAUAAGUGAGAAAGCAAAUGAUGAGAAAAUUAUCAUAACAAUGAAGUGAAUAUAUAUUUUAUAAAUCAUAUGAAGUACGAAGAUAGAUUUCGCUAGCUCUAAACAAUCAUACGAUAAAAAAACCAACACAACCAACUGUUCCAAAGUUAUCAUGUACAAAUGCCAAUGCGACACUACUACAAAACUAAACUAUGGCUCAACCCAGGAUACUACCUCAAAGCCCCAUUCAACCGUAUUCCAUCCGAGUGUUCCAAGAUAUUGAGAUAAUUGACAUUUUGAUGGCAUCUCAAUUCUAGGAAAUCCCUACAAGUUGCAAGCCAAAGACUCCAUUCUCAAACAAUUUUACCUUACACGACCACAUGCAAACAACGAUUACAAACCAGAAACCAUAAAACCCAACCUUAAUAAGACCGCUAACAUGAUACAUAAAAUAUGAAAAAUACAAACAUUACGUCGGGCACCUUGCUGCGAACAAUUUAUGGUGCAGAGAUUGAAACCUUUUAACAGGUAGGUAUGAAAGAAACAUCAGCAAGCAAUAAAGAGCUCGUAUCCAUGCAUGUAUUCAGAGAGUUCAACACCACUCACUCUUCCUACUGGUUAAGUGAAAAAGCAAAACUCAAUGGAAACUCAAUAUUGAAAACCACUGACAAAAGAAUAAUCACUACAUAUACAAUUUAACAGACUUGUGCACAACUUCCUUCUCCAUUUUUCAUCCCAGAUUGCUGAGACUCCAAUGGAUGCGCAAGAGAGCAGCUUUUACAAAGAGCAGUUGCAUCAACUAAAAUCAUCAGUUUCAUUUCCUAAUUCACUUAAGUUGCCAAUGGCAUGUUUGCAUAAAGAAGAGUGUAGAAUAGUUCAACCUCCGGUAAGCUUCGAACAGACUGCACAAAUUUGUUGUCGCCGGGCUCACCGAGUAGAGGCAAGCUUAGCCAUGUGAUUUGCGGCAAUAGUUUGGCCAAGGGAACUCCUGAAGAGCUUGUCCCUCCAACAUGUAUGCCUACAUCCUCGGUCAGGAUAUCAACUACCUUGUUGAGAGAUAUCUCCAAGACGUUUCUAAAAUCAGGACUGCAAGAAGAGUAAUGCAAAAAGGUCAUUCCCAGAAAACAAGCAAGCAUAUGGUAAAUGGCACGGAUUAUAAAAAAGAGUAAAAUACAUUAAACUUCUACUUACAUCAAUUGCAACCUAAAUAGAUAAAUAUGUUCUGUAAGAAUCUCAGCUUUCAUCAGAAAAAUAUGAAGCAAUUAGAAUAAAAAAAUCCAUCGUAUUUAUUUUUAUUUUUUUUACUUUACUGCAUUUUAUUGAAGCAAUGCACUCCACUUUUUUUUGUAGAAACAAAACUCAUACAAAAAUAACCUGCAAUUACUAGUAUCAACAGCUCUAACCUUCCUGAGGUCUACACAGUUUUAUGUUCCAGCAUGAAGCCUUAAAAGGUUAUUCAUACCAUCCAUGGUAAAAAACUGGAGGUCUAAAAGUACUUGUAUACCAUCAGCACAAACUUUCACAUAGUUCUGCUAGUAAGCCUGAUGCAGGAUAAAUUAUAAUGAGAAAAGGAAGUUUCCUUUUAAAGAAAAGAAUAGAAAGGGGAAAAAGAGAGGAAUAGAAAAAAUGAUAAUAGGAAAAGAUAAAAAAGAACAAGGAUAUUUAUCAGACUUACUCCAGCUCAACAAGAAACCUUCAGGAACAAAAGUUUCAUACCUCCAUAUGGCUUACAUGUAUACAAUGAAAUUAUACCAUCGAAAAUUAAAAUAUUGUAUCACACUACUGAUAAUAUUAUGUAAGAAAAAAAAA